Molecule: ribosomal RNA, 641 nt
Filed under: Rhizobium leguminosarum bv. viciae
Lineage: Bacteria; Pseudomonadati; Pseudomonadota; Alphaproteobacteria; Hyphomicrobiales; Rhizobiaceae
Description: bacterial SSU rRNA
Rfam family: Bacterial small subunit ribosomal RNA
Source: RNAcentral
GUAACGCGUGGGAAUCUACCCUUGACUACGGAAUAACGCAGGGAAACUUGUGCUAAUACCGUAUGUGUCCUUCGGGAGAAAGAUUUAUCGGUCAAGGAUGAGCCCGCGUUGGAUUAGCUAGUUGGUGGGGUAAAGGCCUACCAAGGCGACGAUCCAUAGCUGGUCUGAGAGGAUGAUCAGCCACAUUGGGACUGAGACACGGCCCAAACUCCUACGGGAGGCAGCAGUGGGGAAUAUUGGACAAUGGGCGCAAGCCUGAUCCAGCCAUGCCGCGUGAGUGAUGAAGGCCCUAGGGUUGUAAAGCUCUUUCACCGGAGAAGAUAAUGACGGUAUCCGGAGAAGAAGCCCCGGCUAACUUCGUGCCAGCAGCCGCGGUAAUACGAAGGGGGCUAGCGUUGUUCGGAAUUACUGGGCGUAAAGCGCACGUAGGCGGAUCGAUCAGUCAGGGGUGAAAUCCCAGGGCUCAACCCUGGAACUGCCUUUGAUACUGUCGAUCUGGAGUAUGGAAGAGGUGAGUGGAAUUCCGAGUGUAGAGGUGAAAUUCGUAGAUAUUCGGAGGAACACCAGUGGCGAAGGCGGCUCACUGGUCCAUUACUGACGCUGAGGUGCGAAAGCGUGGGGAGCAAACAGGAUUAGAUACC